GUUACCAUUAACUUCGGCAGCACAUAUACUAAAAUUGGAACGAUACAGAGAAGAUUGGCAUGGCCCCUGUGCAAGGAUGACAUGCAAAUUUGUGAAGCGUUCCACAUUUUU
RNAcentral lists this small nuclear RNA (111 nucleotides) under Catagonus wagneri (Chacoan peccary). Lineage: Eukaryota; Metazoa; Chordata; Mammalia; Artiodactyla; Tayassuidae. The record is from RNAcentral.